GCUACGGGAGGCAGCAGUAGGGAAUCUUCCACAAUGGGCGAAAGCCUGAUGGAGCAACGCCGCGUGGGUGAAGACGGUCUUCGGAUCGUAACGUUCUUUUCUAAGGGAAGAAGAAAGUGACGGUACCUUAGGAAUAAGCCUCGGCUAACUACUUACCAGCAGCCGCGGUAAUACGUAGGAGGCGGGCGUUAUCCGGAAUGACUGGGCGUAAAGGGUGCGUAGGUGGGUUGGCAAGUUAGUAGCGUAACUACAAGGCUCAAACUUGGAAGUACUACUAAAAAUGGUGGACGUGAGUGCAGGAGGGGCAACCGGAAUUCCUAGUGUAGCGGUGGAAUGCGUAGAUAUGAGGAGGAACACCAGGGGCGAAGGCGGGUUGCUAGACUGUAACUGACACUGAGGCACGAAAGCGUGGGGAGCAAACAGGAUUAGAUACCCGGGUAGUC
RNAcentral lists this ribosomal RNA (443 nucleotides) under uncultured bacterium. Its description in RNAcentral is "partial 16S ribosomal RNA". It matches the Rfam family "Bacterial small subunit ribosomal RNA", at positions 338 to 795 of the family's 1533-position model. The record is from RNAcentral.